CUCAGUACUAAUUCACUACAUUUAAAAAUGUUGAUGAGCCUCAGGAUUAAGACAGAUAACAUGACAGAUAGAAGGGAUAUUUAUGGUAUCUAGAUUAACCAUUGCAUGCUCUCUGGAAAGACAGUGGUGAAGAAAGUCUUUCCCCAGUUUCUGAUUUUUAGAUCAUUGGAAAUUUAGCUAAGGACAGCUGUCUGUGGGAGAACAUUCCAGAGAGAAGAGCAGAAAAAGCAGUAAAAGGGACACAGUAAACUGAUCUUUCAGCAUACGAGUAUGCUUUCUUGCAUCUAGGGAUACCCAAGUCACAGCAGUGAUGAAAAGAAGAAAAUGAUCCAAAGCACCGAAAGACAACUGAGUGACUUUUCUAUUCACAAAUUGAUAGACUGAGAAGAAGGAAGGAAUAAAAGAUCUGUCUUGUGAAAUUGAAGAGAGGCUGAAUAGUCCCAUGUCUCCCAGCCUUUCCUCAUAUGGAAGAUAUUUCAGGCCUCUAAAAAAACUAAGGUAAGGAAAGAAUGGCUUUUGAGAUGGAAAAACAACAACAAAAAGAAAAGGAAAAGGAAAAGAAAAAGGAAAAGGAAAAGAAAAAGAAAAAGAAAAAGAAAAAGAAAAAGAAAAAGAAAAAGAAAAAGAAAAAGAAAAAGAAAAAGAAAAAGAAAAAGAAAAAGAAAAGAAAAAGAAAAAGAAAAAGAAAAAAAAAACAGUCUUUCCCUCAUAAAGUAUUUCAGUUUCCAUAAAUGAAUAUACAUCAGAUGUGUGGAGGUGGGAGGUGGAGGAGGAAGAUUCUUUCAAAACCAUGCUUUAUCUUCCACAGCUUCCAAGGAACAGAUGCAGUAUUUAGUGAAAGGGCACCACAGGUGACCCCUCCUGCUGUGUCAGCCAAAGCAAGAGAAGCCUCUGUCUCUGUCAUGUCACCUGAUGAGUAGGAAGUAUGCAAGCUGAACUCCCAACAAGAUAGAUACUUUCUGUCCUGCUGCUUGUUUUAUGGAAUUUGCUCAUAUAAUUGCCUUUGGUACGCGACUGUUGGGAACUGGAGAAAAAAGGAUAAAGGGGAGUUAGAUGAAAGAAAACUAAUUCUUCAUUAUCCCCUCCUGGAAAACCUACAGCUGGGACCUUAGUCUAUUUGUAUUAAUGCUAACUUCAGUGUCAUGUUGUCUUUGAGCUCUCAUGUCUUAUAUUUUAAAAAUUUUGCUCACUGGAACAAAUAAGUUCAAGUAUACAAAUGUACUUCCCUCCUUUGCAAAUUAAACAUAUUUCUGGUAAUAAGGUGAAAGUUUAAGCAUUAACAUGAGUACUAACAUAAGAAAUAUUUUGCACAGAUAAAGUUACAGAUAUGCAUUCUAAUAUGUGAAAUUUCGUAAGGUAUAAAUCACAGAGAAAAAGUCAAAAUUCAUUUUGCUAAAUGUACUGAGACUGGAUGCCUGUACCUGAGCUAACCACUUUAAGCUCCCUAAUAGCCAAAGAAGAGCAACAGGCACUUCUAGGUCACAAUUUGUCAUUUACUAAAAAAGGCAUCUAAAGUAGGUCAGAUGAAUUGCUCCGAGAAUGGCUGUUAUUCUCUACCAACUAUAAAGGGAGAUCUGGUUGAUUAAUUCACAUUCAAUGUAGAUGUUUAAGGAAAAUAUGAUGAAUCUCAUUCAGUGAAUCCAGAAUGACUAUUAAAGGACCACAAAACAAAAUAAGAACACUUGUUUUCCUGAUAUGUAGAAACUGAGAAAGUUAGGCAGAAGUUAACACUGACUUUAGGUUCCAAACUAAUUUAGGAAUUUUGGAAUAUUUUAAUAUUGUUUAUUUCUGUGUAUUCCUAUUACAUACUACAAACUUCUUAACACUACAUUUUAAUCUUUUGAUCAUAUUUUCUUCCUUUAAGAACAAUGAAAACCUUCCCCAACCUUAGCAGACUUUUAUGAAUAUAAACCUAACAAAGCAAAGCAAUUCACCUUUUUGUCUAUUAAGAAAGUGCUGUACUACCAAUAGCUUGGGAAACAUAACAUUAAAGACUGAUCUGCUUACCGUCAUAACUUGAUUUCAGUGAAAGUGCUCUAUGAAGACUUUAUCAGAUGAACAGAAGAACUUCAAUCAAAAGUGUGUGUCUUGAAUCUUCACUUUUUGUGGAGAAAUAAUACUGUUCAAAUGUAAUUCUCUGUAGCUGUGACUGUUUCAAUACUGAAAAGAUUACUUCAUUAAAGAAACAAUAUGUUCAAAUGUGAAAAUGAAAAGAUAAUGGAAGAAGACUCUCAAUUAAAAAAAUUUUUGAAGUAGAUUCAAAAUCAGUGUGUGUAUCCAAUGAUCAUCUUAAAAAUAGAAUCUAAACAAAAAGAAAAUAAUAAUAAAAUAAAUAAUAAAUAAUAAAUAAUAAAAAUGUAAUAUAUAUAUUUAAGUUAUUUGCUGGAGA
Long non-coding RNA from Gallus gallus (chicken), 2389 nucleotides. Lineage: Eukaryota; Metazoa; Chordata; Aves; Galliformes; Phasianidae. The record is from Ensembl.